GAUGAAGAACGUAGCGAAAUGCGAUAAGUAAUGUGAAUUGCAGAAUUCAGUGAAUCAUCGAAUCUUUGAACGCACAUUGCGCCCGCCAGUAUUCUGGCGGGCAUGCCUGUCUGAGCGUCAUUUCAACCCUCAUGUCCCUAGGGCGUGGUGUUGGGGAUCGGCCAAAGCCCGCGAGGGACGGCCGGCCCCUAAAUCUAGUGGCGGACCCGUCGUGGCCUCCUCUGCGAAGUAGUGAUAUUCCGCAUCGGAGAGCGAUGAGCCCCUGCCGUUAAACCCCCAACUUUCCAAGGUUGACCUCAGAUCAGGUAGGAAUACCCGCUGAACUUAAGCAUAUCAAUAAGCGGAGGA
Molecule: unclassified non-coding RNA, 348 nt
Filed under: soil metagenome
Description: partial contains 5.8S ribosomal RNA, internal transcribed spacer 2, and large subunit ribosomal RNA
Rfam family: 5.8S ribosomal RNA (bases 1-120)
Source: RNAcentral